AUUGAACGCUGGCGGCAUGCCUAACACAUGCCAGUCGAGCGAGCGGCGGACGGGUGAGUAAUGUAUGGGGACUGCCCGAUAGAGGGGGAUACCUACUUGAAACGGUAGCUAAUACCGCAUACUAUCGGAUAACCCAUAUGGGAUUAGCUAUUAGGUGAGGUAAUGGAUCACCUCGGCGACGAUCCCUAGCUGGUCUGAGAGGAUGAGCAGCCACAGUGGGACGGAGAGAGGGCCCAGACUACGACGGAGGCAGCAGGGGGGAAUAUUGCACAAUGGGCGCAAGCCUGAUGCAGCAAUGACGCGUGUAUGAAGAAGGCCCUAGGGUUGUAAAGUACUUUCAGUCGGGAGGCGUUACCGAAAGAAGAAGCACCGGCUAACUACGUGCCAGCAGCCGCGGUAAUAC
Molecule: ribosomal RNA, 403 nt
Filed under: uncultured bacterium
Lineage: Bacteria
Description: partial 16S ribosomal RNA
Rfam family: Bacterial small subunit ribosomal RNA
Source: RNAcentral